CCCGUCACACCAUGGGAGUUGAUUGCACCAGAAGCAGGUAGCCUGACCGCAAGGAGGGCGCCUACCACGGUGUGGUCAAUGACUGAGGUG
This 90-nucleotide ribosomal RNA is filed under the name uncultured bacterium. RNAcentral's name for it is "partial 16S ribosomal RNA". It matches the Rfam family "Bacterial small subunit ribosomal RNA", at positions 1393 to 1482 of the family's 1533-position model. The record is from RNAcentral.